RNAcentral lists this ribosomal RNA (492 nucleotides) under uncultured bacterium. RNAcentral's name for it is "partial 16S ribosomal RNA". It matches the Rfam family "Bacterial small subunit ribosomal RNA", at positions 29 to 507 of the family's 1533-position model. The record is from RNAcentral.
AGUGAACGCUGGCGGUAGGCCUAACACAUGCAAGUCGAACGGCAGCACAGUAAGAGCUUGCUCUUACGGGUGGCGAGUGGCGGACGGGUGAGGAAUACAUCGGAAUCUACUUUUUCGUGGGGGAUAACGUAGGGAAACUGACGCUAAUACCGCAUACGACCUACGGGUGAAAGCAGGGGAGCUUCGGACCUUGCGCGAUUGAAUGAGCCGAUGUCGGAUUAGCUAGUUGGCGGGGUAAGGGCCCACCAAGGCGACGAUCCGUAGCUGGUCUGAGAGGAUGAUCAGCCACACUGGAACUGAGACACGGUCCAGACUCCUACGGGAGGCAGCAGUGGGGAAUAUUGGACAAUGGGCGCAAGCCUGAUCCAGCCAUACCGCGUGGGUGAUGAAGGCCUUCGGGUUGUAAAGCCCUUUUGUUGGGAAAGAAAAGCAGCAGGUUAAUCCCCCGAUGUUCUGACGGUACCCAAAGAAUAAGCACCGGCUAACUUCGUG